CAGCAGUGGGAAUAUUGCGCAAUGGACGAAAGUCUGACGCAGCGACGCGCGUGAGGGAUGAAGGCUUCGGGUUGUAAACCUCUGUCAGGAGGGAAGAACCGCCAUGGUAGUAACUGCCCAUGGUCUGACGGUACCUCCAAAGGAAGCACCGGCUAACUCCGUGCCAGCAGCCGCGGUAAUACGGAGGGUGCAAGCGUUAAUCGGAAUCACUGGGCGUAAAGCGCGCGUAGGCGGCUUUGUAAGUCAGAGGUGAAAGCCCACGGCUCAACCGUGGAACUGCCUUUGAUACUGCAAGGCUACGAGUUUGUGAGAGGAUAGUGGAAUUCCUGGUGUAGGAGUGAAAUCCGUAGAGAUCAGGAGGAACAUCAGUGGCGAAGGCGACUAUCUGGCACAACACUGACGCUGAGGUGCGAAAGCGUGGGUAUCAAACAGGAUUAGAUACCCUGGUAGUCCACGCUGUAAACGAUGAUUACUAGGUGCUGGGGGCUUGUCCUUCGGUGCCGUAGCUAACGCAUUAAGUAAUCCGCCUGGGGAGUACGUCGCAAGGCUGAAACUCAAAGAAUGACGGGGCCGCACAGCGUGGAGUA
This 587-nucleotide ribosomal RNA is filed under the name Desulfovibrio sp. STL2. Its description in RNAcentral is "bacterial SSU rRNA". It matches the Rfam family "Bacterial small subunit ribosomal RNA", at positions 349 to 939 of the family's 1533-position model. Lineage: Bacteria; Pseudomonadati; Thermodesulfobacteriota; Desulfovibrionia; Desulfovibrionales; Desulfovibrionaceae. The record is from RNAcentral.